This is a long non-coding RNA of Fukomys damarensis (Damara mole-rat), 3806 nucleotides long. RefSeq lists it as uncharacterized. The transcript is spliced from 4 exons. The record is from RefSeq and is a predicted model, not a curated record. NCBI's taxonomy places the organism in Eukaryota, Metazoa, Chordata, Mammalia, Rodentia, Bathyergidae.
GAGAAAGGCCUAAAAGCCACAGAUGCACAAGGCUCUUGCCUCUACACACCUUCCUGCUAGCCGAAGGAUGGAUCUGGGCCUGAGAGAAGACACAAGCUGACUGAGAUUAUUCAAAACCUAAACCAUUUAGAGCCGUCAUGGAGCAACAGUGGGUGCCCAGACACUUGGAAGACAGCAUCGCAUGAAGGCGAGCCAGGGCCACAGACAGAGAGGAAAAGAAGACAGGCAUGCAGUGGAAGAAAACCAAAUCAACAUAGUCACAUAUGUGGAGCUGGAAAGGAUCCCUGAUGAUUGGCAGUGACGAUGGUGGAACGUAGAGGUGAAGUUAACACCUUCACGGCUACAGAUUUUCCUUAGCAGAGCUGUGGAGUGUGACAAUGGUGUUUGUGUCCAAGCUGUCAAACGCCAUUAUCACACUAAAUAGCUACUGCUAGGCAAUCCUUCCACUCAAUGUAAGUCGUGGCAACUGUUUGGUCUGGGCAAGAGGGCUCAUCCUAUACCAGCCCGUGUUCUCUAUCAUGUGUGAUUUAGAAUAAAGUCUGAUUCUCUUGUGGUCAUUAUUGUAUGCCUGCCUAAACCCUGCCUCUCACAUGCUGUUGUUAAAUAGAUGAUAAUUCUGACAGUAAUGAAAAAACACCUCAAAGUCAGUUUCUCCUAUUGUACAGUCACAACAAAAAUUACUUUUGGCACAGAUGUGCGAGGGUCUCUCCCCAACAAGCAAGCAGUCACUUCCACAGCAGACUCCAUCCGGGAGUCCUCUAAUCUAGUUCUGCUCUGACACUCUACCUGGAGACACUGUUACACCCCACAGGGUGAAGUCUCAGUCCUCAAGACAGCACCCCAUUCAGAUGCCAGGCACAAGCCACAGAUUGUUUUCCCUGUGCUUCUGACUUACAGUCUGUAAAUCAGGGUUCCCACGUUGUCUCCUUGAGCUCAACUCAAGGAGCUGCUUGAGCAGCUCACAGAACUUAGGGAAAGAUAUAUGUACCUUUAACAGCUUAUUAUAAAGCAGAUGAUAAAGGCUACAAAUGAAGAGAUGCACAGAGGAGUUUAGGGGGAAUGUAGAGCUCUGAGAAUCCUUCUAAGAGUGUGAUCCCCCGGGACCCUCCGUGGGUUCAGUUACUUGGAAGCUCUCUGAACUCUGUCCUUUUGGGGUUUUAAGGAGACUUCAUUGCAUACACAUGACUGAAACUUGUAAAGCCAUGUUGAAAUGUGAUUGGAUGAAAAAGGACGAUCUAAAGAAAUGACUAGGUGAGAAAACUCAGUAAGGCCUGUCUGUCCAGAUUCUUAGCCUCUCUGUGCAGCAUUCCAUUCUUGUGGGCCUGAAGCAGCACCCCGUCCCUGUGAAGAGGUUCAAAUGACAACUAUCACAUGAGGAAGGUUGGAGUUUCAAGCCAGGAACUGCGGUUCAAAGUAGAUAACCAAACUAGAUGUAAAUCAUAAUAUCACAGUGACAAUGAAUUUUCUUAUUUUCAUCGCUUCUCGCCCUUUUGGCUAAGAUCAAGUGUAAAACUUCUUAUUUUCCUCAAGUCAAUAGAAAGAUUGGGGCACCCAACACAAGGUUAGGCACCUGACAAUCAUUCAACUCAUGCAUAUUGCAUUGAAAUGAACGGUUAGGAAAACAGGAAACUAAAACUGGGUUAAAUCUAGUUUAUGCAAACAACAGCCUCAUAGGUGAUAAGUUAAGGUAUGUGGGUCUUCCUCUUUAAAAAAAAAGAUUCAAUUAAAAAAACAACAAUAAACUUGUCCAUAACUUAACUGGCCUUUUGGAAAUAACAGAACAUGUUUGAUUUCUACUUAUUUUAACCAAUUACCAAGCAGAUUACUCAAUUUGUAUGCUAAUUUCUUCUUACUUAUGUUUCACUGAAUUGCCAUUAGAAAAAUUAUAUAUAAACUAUGUAUAAGCUGCCAGAGCAAAUCUGAACAUUUUAAAGCCAUGCAGUUUCUGGGACAGUUGGCCCGGCUGGGUGGUCUGGUUUGGAACACAGUCUCUCUCUGAGGGCAUCUAAAGUAACAAGUAGAUUCUGUGUGUGGGCUAAAGCUUCUCUCCUGUGUCUUGGCUACAUAAUCUAGGAUAUGUUUAAUCAAAUUGACAGGAUUGGAUCAACUGUUAGAACCAAAUUCAUCCAAUCAAUCAACAAUCAUUUAUCAAAUAAAUAUGAGCACACGGACUCCCAUGUAGCUGGCACUGUCCUAGGCCCUGGAAAAAUUUUUAAAUUGAAUGUGUGUCUGGCAUUGUUUCCAGAGAUAGACAUUCACUGGCUCACAUUCUGUUAUGAUGGGAUAAUUCUAAUGGUCCCAAUUACAUUUAGUACAGAAUCCAAGGAACAAAACUUUGCAAACUAAUUCCAAGUCCCUUGCUGGAAAGCACCACUGAGUGCAGCCCACACAGCUAGAAUCUACUGAAAAAGUUUCAAGGUCAGGAGAAGUUAUUGUCCAGAGAAGAAAGGGAAGUGCAUUUCUGCCUGCCCUCAUUUCCACCUCCCAUUUCUUCCCUUCUGGCAUCCUCAACCAUCAAGAGGAGAUCUAGACACCCCCCGCAAAUAAUUCAUACACUGACAUUCUUUCUAAUGGGUGUUUUUAGAGAAAGCACUAUUGACAAGCAUCGAUUGAGGGCUUUAUUGUUAUACAAAUCGCUUCCAUGAACACUGUUUCAUUUGACCCAUAUAACACAGGGCAAAGAUGGCAGGAUAUAGUCUCCCCUCCCGCAGAAGGAAAAUGAAGAUUCCAAAUGGUUUUGAACCAUCUGGGUAUGUAACCAUAACUCAACACAGUCCUCUUAAGUCUAAAGUUCUGUGCUUUAUUUAUAUCCUUCCUUGGGCAGGUUAUUUCAUGCUUCAUGGCUGAGUCUAUGUAGAAACUAGGUUAAUCAUACCCCUAUUUGAUCAAUAUCUUCAGCUUCCCAUCUGCUUUGUUGAUGGAUUCUGAUGGAAAACCCACAAAUAAAAGAGAGAUGAGUCAUAUAACAAUCUUCCCUUGUGAACACUCAUAAUGCAGAGAAAGCCUAAUAUUGCAAAACACUGCAAUGGAAAAAUAAAAGAGAAGCAACACCUGUGUGGCAGUUUGGGGGUGAACAAGGGGGUGGCCAAAUUGUGCAGACAUGGAACAGCUAUUCUAGGAAUCUGGCCAACUGAGGCAGCACUGGAUCAUUCACUGCUCAGACUGGAGGGUGGUGUGACCGCUUGGCCUACACACUCUUCUCUGCUGUACUCGCCCCAAGAGUUUGCUCAUAUGGAACUAAACUGGGAGCAAAUGGAAUAGCAUUCUAUAUUAUAGCCUUUUUUUUACCAGCUCUGCUCAUUGUAUAGCUUAUUAUGACUGCUGCAUGGAUUAAUUCUGCAUUCAAGAUUGGAUGUCUGUUCUUUCUGUAUAUCUCUCAGGAACACACAUAGAAGACAGAGCAUCCACAUUCCCACUUUAAAGGCACUUUUAAUACAAUCCUGCUGCUCCAAAUCUCCAACGACAGUUUCCUUUCCUGAACCAGCUUUCAUCUCCUUUUCAGCCCCAGGGAUAUGGCCAGUCAUUUCCAAUAAAGCAUUCCUGGGGACAGUUACUGACGCCAAUGUGAUUUACAUGCUGAAAGGGCCAACUAAGCCAUGCAGUUAGAAUCACACUGGAGACGGGGCAGUUGAACCUCCCUUUGCUUUGUGGAUCAUGCCAGUGAGGUCCUAUGCAUUCUUCCAUUUUGGUACAGUGUGUUGCAUGAAUGUGACAAUGACAACUUAAGGCCUGCCCUACUUUUUUUUUUUCCUCCUCCAGGAGAGGUUUUGUGAAGUCAUAGCACAGUUACCAUAUGUCAAUCGCUC